Molecule: ribosomal RNA, 405 nt
Filed under: uncultured prokaryote
Description: bacterial SSU rRNA
Rfam family: Bacterial small subunit ribosomal RNA
Source: RNAcentral
UGGGGGAUAUUGCACAAUGGGCGAAAGCCUGAUGCAGCAACGCCGCGUGAGGGAAGACGGUUUUCGGAUUGUAAACCUCUGUCUUCGGUGACGAAACAAAUGACGGUAGCCGAGGAGGAAGCCACGGCUAACUACGUGCCAGCAGCCGCGGUAAUACGUAGGUGGCAAGCGUGGUCCGGAAUUACUGGGUGUAAAGGGAGCGCAGGCGGGGAGACAAGUCAGCUGUGAAAACGAUGGGCUUAACCCAUAAACUGCAGUUGAAACGGUGGUUCUUGAGUGGAGUAGAGGUAGGCGGAAUUCCGAGUGUAGCGGUGAAAUGCGUAGAUAUUCGGAGGAACACCAGUGGCGAAGGCGGCCUACUGGGCUCUAACUGACGCUGAGGCUCGAAAGUGUGGGGAGCAAACA